GACGGACGAUGCGAACGUUGUUCGGAGUUACUGGGCUUAAAGGGUGCGUAGGCGGGUUGUCCAGUCUGGGGUGAAAUCCCACGGCUCAACCGUGGAGCUGCCUCAGAGACUGACGAGCUCGAGGGGGGUAGGGGCGAGCGGAAUUGUGGGUGGAGCGGUGAAAUGCGUUGAUAUCCACAGGAACUCCGGUGGCGAAGGCGGCCAGCUGGGCCCCUUCUGACGCUGAGGCACGAAAGCUAGGGGAGCAAACGGG
Molecule: ribosomal RNA, 253 nt
Filed under: uncultured bacterium
Lineage: Bacteria
Description: partial 16S ribosomal RNA
Rfam family: Bacterial small subunit ribosomal RNA
Source: RNAcentral